UCAGCUUCCUGCAUCCUCCAUAGCCCCUGAAGUGUUAAUCUGAAGAAACAGUUCCAUGAGUUUCCACAGGCCGGUAGUGAGUCUCCUACACUUGACCUAGACAGACUUACAUAACAAAGCAUCAGUGCUGGGGAGCUUGUACGAUGUCAUCACCAGCAAGAAUAAGAAGUAUUGGCAGCAGCAAGCAGGCAGGCAGGCUGGGAUUUUGCAUGGAAAUCAUGAACCCUGCAUUGUUUUUCUCCUUUGAAAUGUUUUGGAAGGAGAGUUAUGAAUAGCCCAGAAAUAGGUCUCAUUUUGUGGGUGGGAAGAAUGACCAGAAGCAUGGAAGCUAAAUCUUCCAGCAAGUGCAAGGUACCUCUCCUGGAGUGUGCAGUAAAACCGAGAGGAGGAAUUGCCUUCUGUGAACUUCUGGAGCAUCACAUCUGGAGUGAAGAGGACGGCGAGGCAGUGAGUGCAUAAUGCAAAGGACGCUGCUGAGAGCUUUGGUCUGCUUUUAACUCAUUGUGGCAAAGUUGGACAUCCCAAAGAUGGCAUAGAUGAACAUGACCAGGAAAAGCAGGAGGCCGAUGUUGAACAGCGCAGGAAGGGACAUCAUCAGAGCAAAGAGCAACGUGCGGAUCCCCUUGGCGCCUUUGAUGAGGCGAAGGAUUCGGCCAAUCCUGGCCAGGCGGAUGACUCGGAACAGGAUUGGGUCUGACCAUGUAAACCUUGCCCUUGGCUGGACUGGAAAUUGAUAUGUACAGGAGGUGGGCCUGAAACUCAGAGAUCUGCCUGCCUGGGCCUCCCCAGUGCUGUGAUUACAGGUGUGUACCACUCCAGUUGCUCCACAUUUUAAUACUAUCCUUUGACUUUUAUCGCUAUCAAACUGAGUAAAUUACUAAUUGUAUAUUAAAGUCUAGUGUUUAGUUUCUCUGAAUCCUUCGAAUUUUAAUUUUUAAACACAGUUAUAGCAAUUAUCACAGCUGUAUUUUCAGUCUAUAACUACCACCAUAUGAAAUGUUUCACUGAUAAUUUUAUGGAAAUUACAAAUUAAUUUCGUAAAACUAGUCACUGGGUCUGGAGAGGUG
Onychomys torridus (southern grasshopper mouse) is the source of this 1067-nucleotide long non-coding RNA. RefSeq lists it as uncharacterized. The record is from RefSeq and is a predicted model, not a curated record. NCBI's taxonomy places the organism in Eukaryota, Metazoa, Chordata, Mammalia, Rodentia, Cricetidae. The transcript is spliced from 3 exons.